UAGGGAAUCUUCGGCAAUGGGGGGAACCCUGACCGAGCAACGCCGCGUGAGUGAAGAAGGUUUUCGGAUCGUAAAGCUCUGUUGUUAAGGAAGAACGAGUGUGAGAAUGGAAAGUUCAUACUGUGACGGUACUUAACCAGAAAGGGACGGCUAACUACGUGCCAGCAGCCGCGGUAAUACGUAGGUCCCGAGCGUUGUCCGGAUUUAUUGGGCGUAAAGCGAGCGCGGGCGGUUAGAUAAGUCUGAAGUUAAAGGCAGUGGCUCAACCAUUGUAGGCUUUGGAAACUGUUUAACUUGAGUGCAGAAGGGGAGAGUGGAAUUCCGUGUGUAGCGGUGAAAUGCGUAGAUAUAUGGAGGAACACCGGUGGCGAAGGCGGCUCUCUGGUCUGUAACUGACGCUGAGGCUCGAAAGCGUGGGGAGCGAACAGG
RNAcentral lists this ribosomal RNA (429 nucleotides) under Bacteroidota bacterium. Its description in RNAcentral is "Bacteroidetes bacterium partial 16S ribosomal RNA". It matches the Rfam family "Bacterial small subunit ribosomal RNA", at positions 355 to 776 of the family's 1533-position model. The record is from RNAcentral. Lineage: Bacteria; Pseudomonadati; Bacteroidota.